CAGGCUAUACUUUCAGGGAUCAUUUCUAUAGUAUGUACUAGAGCUGUUUCUCUGAUCAUGUAGAGUACCAACUCCUGCAGA
This 81-nucleotide small nucleolar RNA is filed under the name Cavia porcellus (domestic guinea pig). RNAcentral describes it as "Small nucleolar RNA U3". It matches the Rfam family "Small nucleolar RNA U3", at positions 1 to 85 of the family's 219-position model. Rfam says of the family: Small nucleolar RNAs (snoRNAs) are involved in the processing and modification of rRNA in the nucleolus. There are two main classes of snoRNAs: the box C/D class, and the box H/ACA class. The record is from Rfam by way of RNAcentral. Lineage: Eukaryota; Metazoa; Chordata; Mammalia; Rodentia; Caviidae.